This 223-nucleotide long non-coding RNA is filed under the name Setaria italica (foxtail millet). Its description in RNAcentral is "long non-coding RNA (SITA_LNC003042)". Lineage: Eukaryota; Viridiplantae; Streptophyta; Magnoliopsida; Poales; Poaceae. The record is from RNAcentral.
UGGUCAAUGACUAGCUGUGAGUCGCCUCGGAUGUCAAGCCAUCGGAUGCCCAGCUCGAUGGCGAUGUAGAGCCCAUUGACGAGAGCCUCGUAUUCGGCUACAUUGUUAGAUGUAGGAAAAUGGAGGCGGACCAUAUACCUCAAGUGCACGCCGAGGGGGGAGAUGAAGACCAGGCCUGCUCGGGCACCAGUUUUCAUCAGUGACCUGUCAAAGUACAUCAUCC